RNAcentral lists this long non-coding RNA (563 nucleotides) under Pavo cristatus (Indian peafowl). Its description in RNAcentral is "lncRNA (ENSPSTG00000009699.1)". The record is from RNAcentral. Lineage: Eukaryota; Metazoa; Chordata; Aves; Galliformes; Phasianidae.
AAAGCUUGUCUUACGCCAUCUGAAAUUACGUACAAAGCCAAGUCAUUUCCUUUAGAUUCCUCUUUUAAUGUUGUUAGUGGAGCUUGUUAGCUCUGAUGCUUCUGCAGAGCUUCUCUGUGGAAAGAAGACAACAUCUUACAUUUCACAAGAGUUGCUGCAUAUCUAAUACAGGAUUUUGCAUCUUCCCCAUAAAAACUGGACCCAUCUGUGAACCAUGCUGAAUAUUCUGUGGCACAAAGUCAGCAACAGAGUUUUUAUCUGAUAACAGUUGACAGGUUAUAUUACUCUCUGGAUUAGGAUUAGAAGAAGGGGAAAGAAACAAAAGAUUAGCUCACUCCCUUUGUGUUACUCAGUUUCAUUCUCACUGGGUGCUCAAGAAUGGAUUUACCUUCAAGCGUUACUGUCACCUGGACCAUUCGGCACCAUAUGUGAGAAGGAAAGGGAGGCAGGGUCCAAAGUGCAUACACUUCACUCCCUGUGUAGAUGAGGCAACAAGAGAGAAAAAAAAAAAAAAAGAAAAAAGAAAAAAAGAUAAAGCUGUUCGUCAUCUCUGUUUUGCAUAA